UACGGGGGGGGCAAGCGUUGUUCGGAAUUACUGGGCGUAAAGGGCUCGUAGGUGGCCAACUAAGUCAGACGUGAAAUCCCUCGGCUUAACCGGGGAACUGCGUCUGAUACUGGUUGGCUUGAGUUUGGGAGAGGGAUGCGGAAUUCCAGGUGUAGCGGUGAAAUGCGUAGAUAUCUGGAGGAACACCGGUGGCGAAGGCGGCAUCCUGGACCGAAAUUGACGCUGAGGCGCGAAAGCCAGGGGAGCAAACGGG
This 253-nucleotide ribosomal RNA is filed under the name uncultured bacterium. Its description in RNAcentral is "partial 16S ribosomal RNA". It matches the Rfam family "Bacterial small subunit ribosomal RNA", at positions 524 to 776 of the family's 1533-position model. The record is from RNAcentral.